This 1440-nucleotide ribosomal RNA is filed under the name uncultured bacterium. RNAcentral describes it as "bacterial SSU rRNA". It matches the Rfam family "Bacterial small subunit ribosomal RNA". The record is from RNAcentral.
AGGCUUAACACAUGCAAGUCGAGGGGCAGCAUGGUCUUAGCUUGCUAAGGCCGAUGGCGACCGGCGCACGGGUGAGUAACACGUAUCCAACCUGCCGUCUACUCUUGGACGGCCUUCUGAAAGGAAGAUUAAUACAAGAUGGCAUCAUGAGUCCGCAUGUUCACAUGAUUAAAGGUAUUCCGGUAGACGAUGGGGAUGCGUUCCAUUAGAUAGUAGGCGGGGUAACGGCCCACCUAGUCUUCGAUGGAUAGGGGUUCUGAGAGGAAGGUCCCCCACAUUGGAACUGAGACACGGUCCAAACUCCUACGGGAGGCAGCAGUGAGGAAUAUUGGUCAAUGGGCGAGAGCCUGAACCAGCCAAGUAGCGUGAAGGAUGACUGCCCUAUGGGUUGUAAACUUCUUUUAUAAAGGAAUAAAGUCGGGUAUGGAUACCCGUUUGCAUGUACUUUAUGAAUAAGGAUCGGCUAACUCCGUGCCAGCAGCCGCGGUAAUACGGAGGAUCCGAGCGUUAUCCGGAUUUAUUGGGUUUAAAGGGAGCGUAGAUGGAUGUUUAAGUCAGUUGUGAAAGUUUGCGGCUCAACCGUAAAAUUGCAGUUGAUACUGGAUAUCUUGAGUGCAGUUGAGGCAGGCGGAAUUCGUGGUGUAGCGGUGAAAUGCUUAGAUAUCACGAAGAACUCCGAUUGCGAAGGCAGCCUGCUAAGCUGCAACUGACAUUGAGGCUCGAAAGUGUGGGUAUCAAACAGGAUUAGAUACCCUGGUAGUCCACACGGUAAACGAUGAAUACUCGCUGUUUGCGAUAUACAGCAAGCGGCCAAGCGAAAGCGUUAAGUAUUCCACCUGGGGAGUACGCCGGCAACGGUGAAACUCAAAGGAAUUGACGGGGGCCCGCACAAGCGGAGGAACAUGUGGUUUAAUUCGAUGAUACGCGAGGAACCUUACCCGGGCUUAAAUUGCAGAUGAAUUACGGUGAAAGCCGUAAGCCGCAAGGCAUCUGUGAAGGUGCUGCAUGGUUGUCGUCAGCUCGUGCCGUGAGGUGUCGGCUUAAGUGCCAUAACGAGCGCAACCCUUGUUGUCAGUUACUAACAGGUUCCGCUGAGGACUCUGACAAGACUGCCAUCGUAAGAUGUGAGGAAGGUGGGGAUGACGUCAAAUCAGCACGGCCCUUACGUCCGGGGCUACACACGUGUUACAAUGGGGGGUACAGAGGGCCGCUACCACGCGAGUGGAUGCCAAUCCCAAAAACCUCUCUCAGUUCGGACUGGAGUCUGCAACCCGACUCCACGAAGCUGGAUUCGCUAGUAAUCGCGCAUCAGCCACGGCGCGGUGAAUACGUUCCCGGGCCUUGUACACACCGCCCGUCAAGCCAUGGGAGCCGGGGGUACCUGAAGUGCGUAACCGCGAGGAGCGCCCUAGGGUAAAACUGGUGACUGGGGCUAAGUCG